Molecule: ribosomal RNA, 3303 nt
Filed under: Triticum aestivum (bread wheat)
Lineage: Eukaryota; Viridiplantae; Streptophyta; Magnoliopsida; Poales; Poaceae
Description: partial small subunit ribosomal RNA
Source: RNAcentral
AUGCACCCGAGGUCGCGCAUUCGCGGACGCGAGCCGCCGCCCCCGCCCCCGCCGUCAUCGGGAGGACGAUACCGCCGACGGUCCCCGCCCCUGCCGCCGCCCUCCCCGCGGCCGCAGCACCACCAGCGCCGGGCCCCGCCGCGGCUCAGCAGCCCCGAACGGCCGCCCCCGCGCCGCCUGCUGGCGUUGGACGAGAAGCCCCUCCCGCCGCCGGCGGCCGCGCUCGUCGUCGCCGCCGAACGGCGCUGGCGCAACGACGUGCUCCUCGAGGCCGGCCGCCUGGCCGCCCACUACCUGGUCGCGCAGGGCGUCCUCCCCGACCACGUUCUCCACGCCCGGGAACACCCCAGCCCCAAGCAGCACCACGUUCUCCACGCCAGGGACGACCCCGUCCCCAGCCCCCGCCCCGAGAUCUCCGCCCCCGCCGGCUACGCCAGGAAGAGGGAUGACGACGGGCCGCCGCGCCCUGAUGACGACCCCAGAUGGCGACGCAACGGCGGCGGCGGCGCCGACUGGGGCCGCGACAAGAGGGACGAGGACGACGGCGCCAGGCUCGCCCGGGCCAAGUCCGGCUGGGACCGCAGGACCCAGAGCUUUGACGGAAGACGCAGGUACAACGAGGGCGAUGGCGGACGCGGUGCUGGCGGUGAUGCCGACCGGGGCGUUCGCCGGAGCCACCCGUACGACGAGAAGAAGAGACCCGCCAUGUCACGCUCCUACUCCCAGAACGACCGCCGGGCCUCCAGCGACGACCGCCGGCCACCCCCCAUCGAUGACCGUCGUUUGCCCUCUGUUGACCGCAGAUUGGACCGCAAGCGGAGGAGCAGAAGCAGAAGUAGAAGCCGGAGCCGGAGCCGGAGCCGGAGCAGAACCAGGCCCAGGAGCUCUUACAGUGGCAGCCGGAGGGAUCCAGACUGGCGACCACGCGGUGGUGAUUUCGAUCAGCCACGCACCGGCGAUCUGGAACUGGUGAUUCAGAGCAAGGUGCCAGCAGAGUCUGCAACUGUUGCCAGCCGUGACGGCGAUGUGGACGGUGAUGAUGUCGAUAAACUGCCAAGGGAUCCGAAGAUUCCUCGCUCGGAGGUGGUGAUGGUGGAGGCGAAAGACGGUGCCAGCCGCGAAGAUGAAGCUGCGGUGGAACCAGAGCAUGAUGGCGCCAGACAUGAAGAUGAAGAUGCAGAGUAUGAGUAUGAGGAGGUGGUGGAAUCAGAUGAUCAUGGUGAAGAUGAUGAAGGUGUCACCUAUGAAUAUGAAGAGAUGGAAGCAGAGGACAAUGGUCAGGACGAUGAGGCUGCUGCUGUUGCUGGCUUGAAUGAUGCUGAUGCUGAUGCUGCUGAAAUAAAUGCCAGCCACCAACUGCCCAUGGUGGAUGUUCAUCCAUCAGAGCCUGCUGAGGAACCGGCGCACACGCAGCCCCAUCUCAGCGACGUCGAGGAGGCCACGGAGGCAGAAGUUGCGCGUGUGGAUGCAUGCCUGAUUGAACCAGUGGCUGACAACAGUGGUUGUUCUGAAAUUAGAGGUGAAACGGAGGCUCCGCAAAGUCAACCUGAAGCUGGACUUCAAGCUAGAGGUGAAAUGGAGGCUCUGCAGAGUGAACUUGGAACUGAACUUCAAGUUAGAGGUGAAGUGGAGGUUCUGCAGAGUGAACCUGAAACUGAACUUCAAGUUGCGGGUGAAAUAGAGGCUCUGCAGAGUGAACAUGAAACUGAACUUGUUACCGAUGUAGUGGAGGCUCCGCAAAGUGAACGUGAAACUGAACUUCAAGUUGCAGGUCAAAUGGAGGCUCCUCAAAGUGAACCUGAAAUUGAACUUCAAGUUGCCGAUGAGAUGGAGGCUCCACAAAGUGAAAUGGAGGCUCCGCAAAGUGAACAUGAAUCUGAACUUGUCGAGGAAACUCCACAAGCGGAAAUUGAGCUUGGAACUGAACUUCAAGUGGCAGGUGAAAUGGAGGAUCUGCAAAGUGAACCUGAAACUGAACUUGUCGAGGAAACUCCACAAAUGGAAAUUGAGCUUGGAACUGAACUUCAAGUGGCAGGUGAAGUGGAGGCUCCGCAAACUGAACAUGAAUCUGAACUUGUCGAGGAAACUCCACAAAUGGAAAUUGAAGCUGCUGAUGGUGAUCCUACUAGAGAUGAAGAAGAGCUGCCGGCUUGGUAUCAAAUUUUUGACCUCAAUGUUGACGGAACUCGUGAGAGCUGUGAAGUGACUGAGAUUCCCGGUGAUCCUCCUGAAGAACAUGCUUGUGAUUCUCUGCCUGAUUUAGUUGGUCAGAUGAGCCAGCAAGCAUACUAUGAUCCUCCAGAUACUCUAAAUCAGGGUAUUGGCAUGCAUGAUUUGGAUAGGAACUACCAGAACAGCGAGCAGAUGCUUAUAAAUCAGAUAGCCGAUGAGCAUGGACAGGGUGAUCAACAGCUGGAGGGCGAGCAAAUAAACAAUGAGGAAACAAUGCUAAAGCAAGAUGCGGAGGAGCAGGUGCAGAAUGAGCAUUUGUUACCUGAUCGUGCUGCAGACGUUAAUCACCAGAUAAAGGAGGAACAAAUGCUUCUAGAUCGUGUUACAGUUGUGCAUGAGUUGGAUCAUUGUGAUCUGAACGGUGAACAGAUGCUACUAAAUGAUGGUUCAGUUAAUAAAUCUGCAGUUGAUGGGGACAAGUUAAAGGAUGGGCAAAUGGACCGGGCUGCAAAGAGACAAGCUACACUUCGCAGCCUGGACAAUGGCCAAAUGAUGAUUCCUAUAAUUAAUUUGGAUGACGACGACGACGAUGAUGAUUAUGCAGAGCAGCCUGAACGUAUGUGUUCUCAAGACGAGCAAGCCGCAAGCUUUCCUGACCAUCAGACUAACAUCCCAGCAUCUUCUUCAUCGGUUCCACCACAUUCCGGAAAUAGGUGGACUGGGAUGGGAGCUGUCAAUGCACAGGGAAUUCCCAGUGAUGAUGGUGUCCUAUAUGGUGGUGCGUUUGAUAAGAUACCAUUAGUCUGUUAUGUUUGUUCAUGCAUUCUUGGUCUUUUUCCUGGCUUCCUUUAUCCUGGACCGUCGAAGGCCGGGCGCUGGAGCCGGUCGACCGAGUUGAAAGAAGUCACAUUUCCUUGCUGGUCCAGGAAGAAGUGUCUGGUGGUGCCAACUCUGGUACAGGACUGUGCUUAUGGCUCUCUUUUUUCCUUGAAGAAGAAAAGACAUCGAAGUUGCCAAUCGGGGAGGCUAGCGAAUGGCCACCGCUUCAUAAGAGCAGCAGGCCGAGCUUACAGCGUGCCCGAAUGGAAGCACACCCGACAAGGCAUGAGCCAGAUGAGGCUCCUGCCUUGA